Molecule: long non-coding RNA, 622 nt
Organism: Trifolium pratense (red clover)
Lineage: Eukaryota; Viridiplantae; Streptophyta; Magnoliopsida; Fabales; Fabaceae
Exons: 3
Source: RefSeq, a predicted model, not a curated record
UUUGAUUAAAUUUUUUAUGUGCUUAUUUUUAAUCGGUUUUUGAGUACACAAUUCACCCUCCCUCUUGUGUCGUUUGGAGUCACUUGACCAACAAAUGUGAUUAAUAAUGUUAUAACUAAAUGAUUUUUACCAAAUCACACCUCCAUAUAAAGUUUGAAAGGCCACUUAAAGUUGUGAGUUCUUAGUUUUUUUUUUGUCUUAACCCCCUUAUUCUCAUAGCAAAGGGCCAUGAUAUUCUUCCAUGUGUCCGGGAGGGUUGGGGGAAAACAAUUGUUGUAGGAGUGGACAAGCCAGGAGCUAGAUUGAGCCUCAGUUCUAGUGAGGUCCUUCAUGAUGGAAAGAGCCUUAUGGGAUCCGUGUAUGGAGGACUCAGACCCAAAUCUCAUGUGCCAAUUCUGCUUAAACGUUACAUGGACAAGGAACUGCAGUUGGAUGAAUUUGUGACUCAUGAGGUGGAAUUUAAGGACAUCAAUAAAGCUUUUGAUCUAUUGAGUAAAGGACAGUGUCUUAGAUGUGUGAUUUGGAUGGAAAAAUGAGUGCAUUCUUAUGUAAUAUUGUAAUCCUAAUAGCUAGCCUUUGAAUCAUGACAUAAUAUAUACAGCUAUAAAAAUAUUGGACAGUA